GAUGAACGCUAGCUACAGGCUUAACACAUGCAAGUCGAGGGGCAGCAUUUCAGUUUGCUUGCAAACUGGAGAUGGCGACCGGCGCACGGGUGAGUAACACGUAUCCAACCUGCCGAUAACUCGGGGAUAGCCUUUCGAAAGAAAGAUUAAUACCCGAUGGCAUAAUUAGACCGCAUGGUCUUAUUAUUAAAGAAUUUCGGUUAUCGAUGGGGAUGCGUUCCAUUAGGCAGUUGGUGAGGUAACGGCUCACCAAACCUUCGAUGGAUAGGGGUUCUGAGAGGAAGGUCCCCCACAUUGGAACUGAGACACGGUCCAAACUCCUACGGGAGGCAGCAGUGAGGAAUAUUGGUCAAUGGGCGCAGGCCUGAACCAGCCAAGUAGCGUGAAGGAUGACUGCCCUAUGGGUUGUAAACUUCUUUUAUAUGGGAAUAAAGUUUUCCACGUGUGGAAUUUUGUAUGUACCAUAUGAAUAAGGAUCGGCUAACUCCGUGCCAGCAGCCGCGGUAAUACGGAGGAUCCGAGCGUUAUCCGGAUUUAUUGGGUUUAAAGGGAGCGUAGGUGGACAGUUAAGUCAGUUGUGAAAGUUUGCGGCUCAACCGUAAAAUUGCAGUUGAUACUGGCUGUCUUGAGUACAGUAGAGGUGGGCGGAAUUCGUGGUGUAGCGGUGAAAUGCUUAGAUAUCACGAAGAACUCCGAUUGCGAAGGCAGCUCACUGGACUGCAACUGACACUGAUGCUCGAAAGUGUGGGUAUCAAACAGGAUUAGAUACCCUGGUAGUCCACACAGUAAACGAUGAAUACUCGCUGUUUGCGAUAUACAGUAAGCGGCCAAGCGAAAGCAUUAAGUAUUCCACCUGGGGAGUACGCCGGCAACGGUGAAACUCAAAGGAAUUGACGGGGGCCCGCACAAGCGGAGGAACAUGUGGUUUAAUUCGAUGAUACGCGAGGAACCUUACCCGGGCUUAAAUUGCAUUUGAAUAUAUUGGAAACAGUAUAGCCGUAAGGCAAAUGUGAAGGUGCUGCAUGGUUGUCGUCAGCUCGUGCCGUGAGGUGUCGGCUUAAGUGCCAUAACGAGCGCAACCCUUAUCUUUAGUUACUAACAGGUCAUGCUGAGGACUCUAGAGAGACUGCCGUCGUAAGAUGUGAGGAAGGUGGGGAUGACGUCAAAUCAGCACGGCCCUUACGUCCGGGGCUACACACGUGUUACAAUGGGGGGUACAGAAGGCAGCUACCUGGUGACAGGAUGCUAAUCCCAAAAGCCUCUCUCAGUUCGGAUCGAAGUCUGCAACCCGACUUCGUGAAGCUGGAUUCGUUAGUAAUCGCGCAUCAGCCAUGGCGCGGUGAAUAAGUUCCCGGGCCU
RNAcentral lists this ribosomal RNA (1359 nucleotides) under uncultured bacterium. Its description in RNAcentral is "bacterial SSU rRNA". It matches the Rfam family "Bacterial small subunit ribosomal RNA", at positions 28 to 1381 of the family's 1533-position model. The record is from RNAcentral.